GUACCGUCGUAAAAGGGAAGAGGAGAAUCAGAGCUGGGCUGCUCAGAGUGCUUUAACUGAAGGCAUCACGAAUUCACUAUCAACAAAGCACUAAAGCACCAAAUAUUUCAAAGCAGAGAAGGUAGUUUUGCAAGUGUCAAGGACAAGGCAGAGCCUGACGAAUGAAACCACCCAUUUUGAAGGUCUGUGAGGAGAUGGAGAGCUGACACAGAGCUGAAGUACCUUUGCCAGUCUCUUUCUCUGCCUAUCUCCUUCCUCAAGGGCAGCUACCAGCCAGGAGGAAACAGCACAGUCUGUAAUGACAAGCUGUCGACAGCUCCGUGUCACAAACCAGAGCCAUGCCAUUUCUCCUGCAGAGCCAGGCUCAUGGGCACCAGCAGCCCUCACCACAUGCAAUGACAGCCCUGGAAAUGCCCAGAUUUCUCUACCUGUCCUGAAGAACAAUCCCCACCUGAGCAGCCAGGUGUCGGGAUUUAAAAGGUAGCAAAGAGUAAUGGAGCAGAAUUGCAAGCAAAGUGCAAACCACCACUCAACCCCAAGGGCAGGACACUCCCCAGACACCCUGCACUCGAUGUUCUGUGCUCUACAGUGCUCUCAGAAAUAGAGAAAAAACCCAAAAAAAACAACCGAAGCAACAAACUAAAAGCCUGCAUUGGAGUUCACACGCAUUUCUUAAGUGCAGCCAUAGGCAAACCCAUGGAACUGGAUGUGCUGAGAGAACUGUGAUUUAUGGCACAGCACAGUCA
Molecule: long non-coding RNA, 746 nt
Organism: Passer domesticus (house sparrow)
Lineage: Eukaryota; Metazoa; Chordata; Aves; Passeriformes; Passeridae
Exons: 5
Source: RefSeq, a predicted model, not a curated record